UGUAGGAUAUGGAUAAUAGGCUUAAACUUUUGAGUUUGGUACGUCUUUGUUCUUCUGUUAUACUCUUCCUUCCAUAUCACUUUUUCUCUAAUAUUGGGUACUAGAGAGUUUUCUUAUUUUUGGUCAUAUUCGUUUCUUUCUCAUUUUUUUUGAAAAUGUCAUGUUUCUGACAUCUUAUUUUUCUCUCUUUCUUUUUCUUUUCAUGUAACCAAUUUCUCUAGUACCCUCAACCUCAAACUUAAAUACUGCUAACUUUC
Molecule: long non-coding RNA, 257 nt
Filed under: Lathyrus oleraceus (garden pea)
Lineage: Eukaryota; Viridiplantae; Streptophyta; Magnoliopsida; Fabales; Fabaceae
Description: Pisum sativum (pea) long non-coding RNA (PSAT_LNC007243)
Source: RNAcentral